Molecule: ribosomal RNA, 301 nt
Filed under: uncultured bacterium
Lineage: Bacteria
Description: partial 16S ribosomal RNA
Rfam family: Bacterial small subunit ribosomal RNA
Source: RNAcentral
CAGUAGCCGCGGGAAUAUGAAGGGUGCAAGCGUUACUCGGAAUUACUGGGCGUAAAGCGUGCGUAGGUGGUGGUUUAAGUCCGUUGUGAAAGCCCUGGGCUCAACCUGGGAAUUGCAGUGGAUACUGGGUCACUAGAGUGUGGUAGAGGAUAGUGGAAUUUCCGGUGUAGCAGUGAAAUGCGUAGAGAUCGGAAGGAACAUCUGUGGCGAAGGCGACUAUCUGGGCCAACACUGACACUGAGGCACGAAAGCGUGGGGAGCAGACAGGAUUAGAUACCCCCGUAGUCCCUGUCUCUUAUAA